Molecule: non-coding RNA, 752 nt
Organism: Rattus norvegicus (Norway rat)
Lineage: Eukaryota; Metazoa; Chordata; Mammalia; Rodentia; Muridae
Source: RefSeq, a predicted model, not a curated record
GCCAUUCUCUCAACCCCAACCAAGCUAGAGUUGGUCUUUCCAGUGCAGCUAAGAAUGCCGGCUGAUUGGCCUCCUUGACACUGGUUUCUUCACAGCUGAGGUAACAAGCAGCAAAGCAAAGAAACAACUUGCAAAAUGGGGCAUAAAACUUGAAAACUACUCGUCGAUCAGGAGUUAAUAUCCAAAACUGUGUAAAGAAAAUAUAUUACUCAACAAAAUCAAGUCCAAAAAAACCAAGAUUGGAUAAUGGCUAAGAAAUUUGGAUAGACAUUUCUCAAAAGAAGACGCACAAAUGACCAAUAGGUCCCUGAGGAAAAUGCUCCACAUCACUAAGCUUCAGAGAAACGCACUCUGUGAUCACACAGUGAGAGUCACAUCGCCCAGCAGGAAUGGCUCCUGUGAAAAUCAGACAUUAAGCACUGGAGAGGAUUUGGAGAAAUUCAUGGCUGUAUAGGAACACUACAGACAGAAAUAAAUGUGGCCAGGCUAGAAUGUUAGAAGGCAUGGAUGUUUUUCAAAAUGCUCACGAUAGGAUGAUCAUAUGAUCCUGGAAUAAAAUUUAUACUAUGAUAACCAACAGAGUCUCCAAAACUCCUUGCUAUGUCCUCUCCCCUUUCUCUCCUCCUUCCUUUUUUAUUUCUAACUUGUAUUGUGUUUCUUGAUUUCAUUAUAUUAUUGUUUAAUUUUUUUCUUCCGUUGGUUUAAAAAUAUCCCUUCUAUCUCAAUUAUUUUAAUAAAUACAACAGAAAUUC